Non-coding RNA from halophilic archaeon J07HB67, 100 nucleotides. The record is from Rfam. NCBI's taxonomy places the organism in Archaea, Methanobacteriati, Methanobacteriota, Halobacteria, Halobacteriales.
CUGAGGGCCGCGUUCGGGUCAAUUGCGGACUGCAACACCCGAUCUCCCUCCGGGCGCCCCCAGACGGGGUGCCCGACGAGGGGGAGCGUGUCACCGUCAG